This 443-nucleotide ribosomal RNA is filed under the name uncultured Eubacteriales bacterium. RNAcentral describes it as "bacterial SSU rRNA". It matches the Rfam family "Bacterial small subunit ribosomal RNA", at positions 338 to 795 of the family's 1533-position model. The record is from RNAcentral. Lineage: Bacteria; Bacillati; Bacillota; Clostridia; Eubacteriales.
CCUACGGGCGGCAGCAGUGGGGAAUAUUGGGCAAUGGGCGAAAGCCUGACCCAGCAACGCCGCGUGAGGGAAGAAGGUCUUCGGAUUGUAAACCUCUGUCCUUGGGGACGAAAAAAAUGACGGUACCCAAGGAGGAAGCCCCGGCUAACUACGUGCCAGCAGCCGCGGUAAUACGUAGGGGGCAAGCGUUGUCCGGAAUUACUGGGCGUAAAGGGUGCGUAGGCGGUUGCCUAAGUCAGAUGUGAAAUCCCCGGGCUUAACUCGGGUGGUGCAUUUGAAACUGGGCGGCUAGAGUGCAGGAGAGGGAAGCGGAAUUCCUAGUGUAGCGGUGAAAUGCGUAGAUAUUAGGAGGAACACCAGUGGCGAAGGCGGCUUUCUGGACUGUAACUGACGCUGAGGCACGAAAGCGUGGGGAGCAAACAGGCUUAGAUACCCUAGUAGUC